This 450-nucleotide ribosomal RNA is filed under the name uncultured bacterium. RNAcentral describes it as "partial 16S ribosomal RNA". It matches the Rfam family "Bacterial small subunit ribosomal RNA", at positions 354 to 796 of the family's 1533-position model. The record is from RNAcentral.
GUGGGGAAUCUUCCGCAAUGGACGAAAGUCUGACGGAGCAACGCCGCGUGAGUGAAGAAGGUUUUCGGAUCGUAAAGCUCUUUCGUUAGGGACGAACGUGCUCUUUGUGAAUAAUGAGGAGUAAUGACGGUACCUAAAUAAGAAGCCACGGCUAACUACGUGCCAGCAGCCGCGGUAAUACGUAGGUGGCAAGCGUUGUCCGGAAUUAUUGGGCGUAAAGCGCGCGCAGGCGGGAUAGCAAGUCUGUCUUAAAAGUGCGAGGCUCAACCUCGUGAGGGGACAGAAACUGGUAUUCUUGAGUGUCGGAGAGGAAAGUGGAAUUCCAAGUGUAGCGGUGAAAUGCGUAGAGAUUUGGAAGAACACCAGUGGCGAAGGCGACUUUCUGGACGAUGUCUGACGCUGAGGCGCGAAAGCUAGGGGAGCGAACGGGAUUAGAAACCCUUGUAGUCC